Molecule: long non-coding RNA, 1215 nt
Filed under: Oryctolagus cuniculus (rabbit)
Lineage: Eukaryota; Metazoa; Chordata; Mammalia; Lagomorpha; Leporidae
Description: lncRNA (ENSOCUG00000033738.1)
Source: RNAcentral
AUGGUGGUGGCACUGUUCGAACCUGGUUCAGUUCUUUCAUUUCCUAAGCCAACAGCAACGGAACAAAAUCGUGCACGUGUGUGUGUGCACAUGCGUGUGUGCACGUGUGUGUGUGCAGUCAGCAACAGCACCUGCCUGUGCAACUUUUGCCGCUUCGUGACCCUAAAUUGCCUUCAGAAGGCCGGCUCCUCCCUAGAAUGGUGCCCGAGAGAUGCCUGCUGGGUCCUGGAGCUAAGUGAGAGGCACCAGUUCCAACAGCUCUGGAACCCUGGCUCCUGGGGCGGGAGCCGUGCGGGGCCUCCCAUAACCACUCGCUGCCCAGCAGAAGGGCGGAAGCACUGCUCUCCUCCCUGCCCCCCAGGAGCCCCACCACACCUCUCUUCAAAGGUGACAUCAGCACCUAGUGGCACUCUGUCCUGGAUCCCGCCUCCUUCUCAAGGAAGGCCACCCACCCCGCGCUUCCCAGGGCUCCGGCUCGGCCUCUCCCGCUCUCCACCCCCCAUCAGAACCCUCAGGGUCUCUACUGGAAAACACCCCUCCUGCGUGGACGAAACUCAGCCGCCCGCUGCCACCUCUCGGUGCCGCAAGCUCGGUCCCAGCCCUGCCAUCCUGGUGCACCCCCACCAUCACCACCAGGCCUCGCGCUGGCCGCUCCGUGCUCCCGGCGCCCGACACUGCGGAGACGCGCCCGACACCGCCGGCUCCCCGGGCAAGGGGCGCACGGGAGGGAUUCAGACCUGCGACCAGCGCGAGGCUGCGACCCUUCGGAGGUGCCUGCCCAGAGAGAGGACCCUCGCGAGACGGGAAGCGCCUUUCCUCCGGCCCUGGCAGGGAAAUGGGGGCGCAGUCACCGGCCCCCGCCCCCCGCCCCCGGGAGACUCGCUAGCUCAGCCCCCUCCCCGGAGCCGCGGGAGCCGAGCGCGCGCUUACGCCCUCCGCGCAAGCCGGACAUCGCCCCCCACCCGCAUUCCCAAGGGCACGGGGCACCGCAAAGCCUGGCGAGGGGCGGAGGAGGGGGCAGCAUCGACGCCCGCCGAGGCCGCCGUAGCGGGCGCCAAGAGGGGCUGUGGUCCCGGGUGCGCUAGAGAGUCACCCCCCUCCCCAGACUGUGCAGUGGGGCAGGAGGUGGAAAAAGAGCAUCCUGCCGCCCUAGCCUGGGUCUGGGCGCUCACCUGUCUGCAGUCCCCGAAGGCCGGCAGCUCGGCUGCGAGGUGA